UUUAAGUUCCAUUAAAGAGACAUAAACUCCUAAAGUACUGGGCUAUGACAAACAGGCUAUACCCAAAGGACCAAUAAUAUGGCCCUUUUGUGACCGGCUUACCAUUUGUCUUCAUUAAAGCCCCCUCCAAAGUGUUUUUUGCUUUAAGUGCAAUUCAGUCUGCAAACAAAAGAAGUCCAGCUGAGUGCUGUUGCAUUUUCAACCUUGUGCCUCAAGACAAAUGAAGAUGACCCAAUCAUUUACAGCAACAUAUGGAAUCAUGUCGAUCUCUUGCGUUAUUAUGCAAUACCAGGAAUACCAAAGGACUUGCAUGCAACUUGUCAGGUGUUUCAAGAAGUGUUUCUUUAAAAAGUGUAUGGUCUAAUGUUGCAUUCUGGCCAGAACACUCCUGCAAUAUCUGCAUGAACAAUGUUUGGAAAAAGAAAUUAAGAAAGAUUUGGUUAGAACAUAGUAGAGUGUUUUCUCUAAAGCCCAGUAUGUUCAUACAUCAGAAAUUUUUCAUGUAUAAUGUCGAAAUUGCCUUAUGUUGUUGAGUCAUUCUAAACAUCUGUGCAGAAAUAACAAGGUGUCGUAACAGAGCUGCAACUUUUACUACAUUACUAUGGUUCUGUCUUUUAAAGUUCUUGAUUCCUGCAUAUUUAUCUGUUUCUCUGUCCCCAAACCAAAAAAAAGUGUACUUCUAAGGUCAUAAAGAGUAAUUAGGUAGUAUCUGACUUGACUUGUCUCUGUUUUGCCAGUCUGUCCAGUAGCCUAGUAAACAUUUUGGAACCAAGUGUACAAAUCCUGUGCUAUGGGCUCUGUUUUAAUAAUCUUAGCAGAUGGUUUACGACUCAGCCACACUGAAGUUUUAUUUUUAAACCACUUCACUUUUGCUAGAUUUCUGCCUGGCAUUCACACUAUUCAACCACUUUUAGCCCAGAAACAAGAGUUUUGCUAACUCAGGUGACCCUGUUUAAGGUUGGAAACUCUGUGGGGUUUACUCUUGACAUGCCAUAAUAUAAUUUUGGAAACGAUAAUGCAGGCACAUAGCCUGGAUGCCAGACGAACUUAGCCCCGCCCACAACAUUUGAGGUCGGGAAGUUCAGUCUGGAGUCGCUCCGUUGGGGAGAAAUUAUGCCCGACCGGGCCAAUCAGAUUGUCAGGGCGGGCUUUAUAUGAUGAUGGACAGAUGAUCAACGGUAACGUAAUCAACCACGUCAUCGAAUUGCCCUCGGGUUGAAUUCGUUUUCAACAAACAUGCCUGCUGCUGGAGAGGUGAGAUGUGUAGAUGCUGCCAUUGAGUCUGUUUUAGAAGACAUCGACAGCGCAUUCAUUUUGAAAGAGGAACAGAGAACAUGGAGGCGAUGCCAAAGCACCGCGCUAAUCCUUAUCGCGCCGGUGCUUGGCCGUUCACACCGGACACUGAAGCGACGCUGAACCGCCAGGCAGCGCUAAUAAUAUCACCCGUUAAUCCAGUAGAUUAAAAGCAUAUACUUACUUGUUGCUCCAACAUUAAGCAACAGCGUCCCAACAUUUGUCUUUCUUGGUGUUGUCUUUAUCCAACAUGUUCCGAGGAUCAUACAACUCACUGUACUUCUCCACUUCAAUUAUUAAUUUAAUUUCAUCCAUGUUGAAGAACUUCGCUUUCGCCCAGUUUAAUGUCGGUGUCGGGGGUAAAUUACGUAUUCUCCACUCAAGCCUAUGUGGAGAAUACGUAGCCCCCUCUCUCUCUCUUUUUAUCUGUAUCACUGCUUAUGUGGCUGUAGUGGAUGGGCAGAGGGGGACAUUUACUAAUGUCAUUGGUGAAAUUAAAACUCCAGGACAACAGAAGGGGACUUCAAAGUAUGGGAUGCAUAUUUCAUCAUUUAUAUCAUAUAAAAUAUGUCAUCAAUAUCGUUUAAAAUCGUUUUUCAGUGUGUUUCCUGGUGCGAUACACUUGCGUCAAGCGCAAAACAUAGACUCGACGCCGAAAUCGCUGCACGGCGCGAGGCGGCCUUGGCGCAGCGCUGCGUUUCAGCCUCCGGUGUGACCCGCACAAAGUUUUAAUAUGGGAGUGGAUGGGAGCCAGCUGUUAUUUAAGGCUUGGCGCUGCGCUGAAGCGUCGCUUCAGCAUAGCUUCAGCGUCCGGUGUGAACCCGGCGUUAGUAAAUAACUCACAAUGCGUUCGCUUAUCAUACGUCACAUACUAUGUUGCUCUGAUUUGUUGUAGGUCUAUCUAAUUGAGAGAAGAGGAAUUUUAUUUCCUGGUUCGGUUGAAACACGCCCCAUAAUCACAGCCCAAUGGAGCGGUCUCAGACUCACAUUCUGACUAGAAUUGUGAGUCUGACAACGUCAGGCUAGCAGGCACACACAUUUGCUUCCUAGCUGGAUCCUAUCAGUCAUGCUGUGUCCUUCCCUUAUUUGUCAUCAUAUUAGACUUCUAGAAGAAAACAAAUGGCAUCAGCCUUGACUGUUAGUGGUGAAUGCAACAUCUGAUACCACUUUAUAUAGGAGUGGGAAUUAUGGAGAUUUUUUUCAAGUAGGAUCACAAUUCACAAUCAUGUAUACUUUUUCAGGAGUCAUUGCCUGUAAAACAUAUGGGACACCACUGUAUACGAAUAUGAUUCCUUAUGACUAAUAUAUAUGGAUAGAAUCUUACAGGAAUAUUUUGACAAACAACGCUGUUAUUGUUUUAGAUAAAGAACAUCAAGCUUAAAACCCCUAAUCACCAUUAUUCAAUUCAAAUCAGUUUUAUUUGUAAUUUUAUUUGAAGAGCCAAAUCAUAAUAUACUUUACAUAUUUAGGUCGAGACCUUAAAUAUGAUACAGAAACAAUACAGUUCCCCUUAAUGAUAGAUAGAUAGAUGGAUACUUUAUUAAUCCCGUGGGAAAAUAAGAUCAUCCAGUAGUUUAUACACUUAAACACAUCACUGACAAACAUACAUAAAUCACAUGCGGAGAACAUAUUUACAGAUACAGGAAUGGAAUGCAAUGAUGUGAUGUGUCAGUGUCCAGUAGGAAAGUGUUCUUGUGCUGCUGGAGUGGAUAGUACAAUAAAAUAUAUCUAUAUAAAAACAACAGAAAAAAUAUAUAUAUAUAAAUAUAUAAGAACAGGGUUCGUACGGUCAUGGAAAACCUGGAAAAGUCAUGGAAUUUUAAAAUGUGUUUUUCCAGGCCCGGAAAAGUCAUGGAAAAAAAUGAUCUCCUAAAAGUUUUGGAAAAGUCAUGGAAAUUUGUUAUAUUAAUAUUUUCAUGUUGUUCAUUUUAGGGAUGGGCAUAAUUAAUAGACGAUGAGUUUCGUCGAUGAAAACUAUUGCAUGUUCGCUAUAUGGCAGGAAGUCGGAAUAUCCGAGUUGCCGUGAACGCAGCACAGCGAGAAUGUUAGCAGCUGGAGGAAGCAGCCCGGUGCUAGCCUCCGCUGCUCGCUCUCUUCAUGUCCGCACACGGACCGUCAGUACAUGAGGAGGGGAACCCGGACAGACCUGGGUCUGUGUGAGGGGUUCCGGGAGUUAGUGCGUGACAGUAACUUGACUGAGAGGUCUAGAACCGUCAAAUCCAGCUAGCUCCCAGCGGGGCUUAGUUCAAAGUAGGGGAGAGCGGGGUAAUGUGGGACAUCGGGUAAUGUGAGACACCCCCUGUAUCUAGGCAACGGAACACAUUUGUGGUCAUUUGACCAUUAUGUUUUCAAGCCCCUCUCAUUCCCCCCUUGUCAUGAAGCACGGUCUCACUUUACCCCACCUUGAAGCACAAGCUAAGUUUAGUCUUAAACAUAAUUUAGUGUUAUAUUACAUAAUAUAUGCUUAAUUUUUUAUGUGAUAAACAUUGUAGAAAAGCAAUCAUGCCAAGAAACUACUCCAGGAAGACAACCUGGGGCCAAACACCCCUCGCAGAGAUGGAGAGUGCAGCCGCUGAGGUCAUGCAAGGAAAGAAGUCCUUAAGAAAAGCUGGAAGGGAUAGAAAUAUUAACCCUCAAAAGAUUCACAAAGAAAAAAGAGAAAGGGAAAGUAAAAUCAGUAGCCUGGGGUGCAGUAACUGAGGCAAAGAGAAUUUUCACAGAUAAGAUGGAGGAGGAGCUUGCCAAACCAUUGAAAUAACUAGCUGACCAGUUCCAUGGCCUUGCUCCAGUUAAGUGCUGUGAACUGGCAUUUGAAUACGCAGAGAAAAACAAUAUCCCUGUCCCUGACAAAUAGACAGAGAAACAAUGUACAGGUAAGCUAGGGUGUGCAAGAGAUCACAUAAAAAAAAAAAUCAUAAAUGUGCUUAAUUGACCAAUCCCCAUGAUUCUGUUACUAGUCCAAUUUUAGUGGUUGUCAAUCUAGCUGUCGGGAUUUUAACUAUUACAACAUGUGUUGUUAUGGUAGUUUUAAAGUGGAAAAAGUUAGUGGACCACUUUACCCCGUAGCUGGGGUAAAGUUGGACACAAGACCACUUUUUUUAAAACAAUCAUAUUGUCACUGCCCUUUGUCCUGAAGACAUUUUGAUCAUUUCCAUUGCUAGAAAACAUCCUGAAUUAAUGGGAAAUGUGUCAAUUUGACUGAUAUAUCAUUUUAGCUCGCCUAGAGGUGAGCAUAUGUAAAAAAUGUCCCACAUUACCCCGCUCUCCCCUACAGCACCAUUAUUUUUUAAGUUAAACCAGUGAAUGAAUCCUGUUUAACUGCCAAAAGAGUUGUUCAUCUUGUAAAAAAGAUCUCAAUGAUUUUAAUAUAGCCUAUAAAUAGUGAAUUUUAAUAUGAAAAUAUUAAUGAUUAAUCGAAAAUCAAUCGUUAAUUCUCCCAACGAUCGAUUAAGGCAAUUUAAUCAAAUGCCCAUCCCUAUUUCAUUUACGCUGGUUUGUGUAAUUUAAGGUAUACUGUAUGCCUUGGAAUUCUCAUUGUUAGUUUGAAUACUACAUUGUCACUUUUUCAAGAAUACACAGAGAUUUUACAAAAUGUUCGGUCAUGGAAAUUUGGUUUAAAGUCAUCGAAAAGUAAUCGAAAAGUCAUGGAAAUCCAUUGGUCAAAAUGUGUAUGAACCCUGUAAGAAUAUGUAGUGGUAAAGUCUGUGCAUGGGGCCAGUAUAGCCAGUAAAGGGAUGGACAGUGGAUUGGUAUAUAAUAAUGAGAGGAGAUGAGAAGAGUAGAGAAGGGGAGGGCAGACUGAGGUAGACUCAUGCAGGGAUUCUCACUCCCCACCUCUACACUGACCCCCUUGAUGGAGACUGGAAGCAGAGGAAGCUGAGACCUCCUAAAGUCCACCAAGAUCUCCUUGGUCUUAGUGGUGUUCAGCUGCAGGUUGUUAUGUGUACACCAUUGCACAAAGUUAUCCACCUGGCUUCUGUACUCCCCGUCUUGGCCAUCCCUGAUACAUCCCACAAUAGCAGAGUCGUCAGAGAACUUCUGAGCAAGCAAAGACUAUGUGUGCUGCCAUCUGUUUAAACCAAUUGGGUUAACAGAGAAAAAAUUUGAAAAAAAGGAGUUUGUUGGAAAAGGCAUCAUAUUUGAGCUCUGAGUGGUUCAUAUUUGAGCUCUGAGUGGAUGUUAUAUUGAUAAUGGUAAGACAGAUAAUUACAGAUGAUAGCAGCACCUGUGAAUUUAACAAUGAUAAUAAUAAAGCAGCAAGCACCAAUAGUCAGGCCCUUGUAGUCUUUGCGCGUCAAGGGGUGCUGCGACUUGUGUGUAGUUGCUGGAGGUUGGUUGACGCAGCUUGGUAUUACAUAAUGCAUUGGCACAUUGCAUGAAGUAGUUAAAUGUCACAGCUUGUUGAGGUGUGCAUCCUGUUUGUAGUAGGUGAUGCUAGGAUUAUGUUGAAUCAUAGCAGAUGUGUUGUGCAGAUGAGAAUAAGUACAGUACAGUAAAAAUACUUCCUGUUUUAUUUCGGGGCAUGUUGUUGAACAAAAAAUUAAGAUGAGCACAACUGUUACUAAUGAAACAUUGAUGUUAUGAAAUCAACCACAUACAGCAAUUGAAGUUUGGUCAAUUUAAGCUUGUACAAUAAAAUGACAACUUCCUAUUUCACAGCAAAACUUCAUAUGUGAAGUUGAUAUGAUCAUUCUGUAGGUGUCAAUUAAAAUACAAUGCCAGCAAACAUCUGCUAAUAUAUGCUAAAUCUUAGCAAAAAUUACACAUUUCAAUCAGUGAAAUCAAAGACGUUGUAUGGCCCUGAUACAUAUACCUACCGAUUUCUUACAUGCCGGUGAAACAUGCUGCCAGGGCUACUUUGUUGAAAUUUUGAAGGGGUGCUUUUGUGCCAUUUUUUCACUUACCAUGUGGUUUAGCUCCUAAAAUUGUAUCAAUUGUAAAAACUAAACACUCAUAUUUGACACUUGCCACGAAAACUGCAUUAAAAAAAAAAGAUUCAUAAGCUUUCAUUGACCAUGUCAAAAGGGUCUUCUGACCAAAUUUCAGCUGGAUGUGGUGAACCUGCUAUGAGUCUUCAAAGUGUAAGAAAUAUAAUUUCUUGUUGCCAAUAGGGGGCGCUUAUUGCUAUGACUGAAUAUUUGCAUGUAGAUGUGUUCAUGCCCAGGGCCAGCCCUGAACAUAUGCAGGCCCUAAGCCGGAUAAGUUGAUUGGCUCUGUCUCUCAGGGAAUAGAAUUUUAAUAAAAUAAGGUAACAUAUGUAAUUUUUACCCUUGUGCAACUUUUUUUGUUUAUCUAUAAAUUAAGAUGGCAAUAUAAUAGUAUUAACAAUUAUCAUUCAAAGUUUUAAGCAGCUUCAAGAGAUUGCAGAUGUUAAAGGACCCCAGAUUAUUGGACCCCAUUCGUGUGAAAAGUGAAAAGAAUCACCUACUCUUCUUUGUUGGGAAAGAAGGAUGUGAAUCCCUUCUGGGUGACAAAUCCUGUUAAGAAUUAGAGCUGGUGAAAAGAGUGUAUUGCAUCAACACAGCGGUAGAUACACCUAAUGACUCUUUGGAAUUAAUAGUUCAAAUUAUGCAGAUGUUUUUAAGGGUAUUGAUGUACUGCCCUUCACGUACAAACUCCAGUGGAAAAUAGGCGCGCAGCCAGCUGUGCAUGGUACACACAGAUUUCCAGCCCCACUGAAACCCUAACCCCAGGUAGAACAAAGGAUAUUAAUGGACAGUUGAGAAUCUGUAUGGAUCACAAAAAUCUGAAUGAGAAUAUAAAACCCAUACAUGAAGAAAUCAUCACUGAAAUGGCAGGAGUCAAUUACUUCUCAAAGCUUGAUGCAUCAUAAGGCCUCUGGCAGCUUCAACUGGAUGAAAGUAGCAUACAGUCCUGCAUCUUUAACACACCAUUUGGAAGACAGUGCUUCCUCAGACUGCCUCUGUGCCUAAUAAAGUCAGCGCCUUGAAAUAAAGUAAGCGCUUGAAAUAUUUUAUCGAGCAUUGUAUGGGGCUCCACAGCCCAAGAGCACAAUGAGAGGCUUAACAGAGUGAGGAGCACAUAAGAAAGAAUGGACUGAAACUCAACAUGAGUAAAGGUGAGUUUCGAGUGCAGGAAAUACUCUUCCUCAGAAAUUUGCUCUCAGCACAAGGUGUCCGGCCAUAUGAAGAUGCAGAGGUAUGAUAGCAAAAGCCCAGAAAAUGUAUUUUACACAAUAUGUUCCUUUUAAUGGAACACACUAUGAGCUAGUAUGAAGGAGCAUCCAGUACAUCCAUACGGAACUUGCAUCAGGAUUGAGGAGUUCAGGAGUCGGCAGAGAAGAAAGAGGCUGAUUGAAGCGGGACAGAUGACAUGGAAUCCAUCCUUCUACAGCCAGGAGCUCACCGACCUGUGUGCCACACUUCAAAUAAGACUAAAAGUUACACUGGAUCUAACAGCUACACACCACAGACGUCUACACACUGGGGCAGGUUCAGACAGUCCACAAAGAACAUAUGACCCAGAGGCUGCAAAGAGACAUUUCAAGCUUCACCUGAUUAGUUUUUCACUGGCUAGGCAAGUUGUGUUUGUACAAUAUUUGUGCUUUAUGUAAAUAAAGCUUUGACUCAA
Molecule: long non-coding RNA, 7884 nt
Organism: Platichthys flesus (European flounder)
Lineage: Eukaryota; Metazoa; Chordata; Actinopteri; Pleuronectiformes; Pleuronectidae
Exons: 2
Source: RefSeq, a predicted model, not a curated record